RNAcentral lists this long non-coding RNA (1357 nucleotides) under Sorghum bicolor (sorghum). RNAcentral describes it as "long non-coding RNA (SBIC_LNC005881)". Lineage: Eukaryota; Viridiplantae; Streptophyta; Magnoliopsida; Poales; Poaceae. The record is from RNAcentral.
UGGCUCACUUUGGUACUUGUUUGCCUAAAAAUGAAUAGAAAGCAAGGACAAUUUCAAAGGCUGGUGAUGAAUACAUUUAUUCGGAACAUAAAUAACUAGUAAAGAAAUUAAGUGACAGAUGCAACUUGUGAACCUGAAGCGCCUAAUCAAGCAGUACGUACUAACACAAGUGUCAAGAUUUAUGCAAAAUUGGAACGUAUUGUCACAUGAUCUGAACCUGUACAUAUUUUCAAGUUGUAAAAAAUUAAACAAGGACAGGAUAGCUAUAAAAGCUCCAAAAUCAGGGUCUAGGCUUGCAUCACUUGAAUGGCCUGAUUGUUAUCCUCAUCCUGUCCAUUGUACUCAGAACCAGAAUCUUGUUGGUUCUUGUCCUUCUCUUUUUCUAGGGGAACAUCUACAUUUGCGAACAGGUUAGAUACUACAGGUAGUCCAAGUCGUCGCAUGUGGGCAUUGUUGAGGAGGCAAUUUCUCAUUCGUUGAAGCUCAUAGGCAGUCAUGGGAGCCUCUGCAUCGCCAAAAAACAAAGAUGAAGAUUAGUGGACAGAAAUAAAAUAUACUGGAAACAAAGUAAUGCAAUGAUGUAGAGGAAAUACUACCUGUCAGCAUAAAAGUCUUCCAAAAAACGAACACAGUAAUGCAACAUACAGUCCAAAUAAUAGCAUGAAAGUCUAUAUCUACCUAUCAGCUUCUAAAAUUACAUGGCUACAGAGGAGAUACUACAUCAAAUCUUCCAAAAAAAACUCCUUUUCUGAAGCUAUUUUCAGUUCAGAAUAGCAUGAAAGAUGCAAAGGAUAUAAUCAGAAUAAAAUGAGUGGACAGAGUUCGUUAUGCAGAGUACAACCUUCACUAGGAGCCAUAAAACUAACAUCCCUAAAGAUGCCUGCAGGAACACAAAUCUAAAGAAAUACAGGCACCAGGACCCCUCCAAUACUGAACAAAUAAGAAUUAAAUCCUAGGCGUGCCAUCCAAAAGAGCAAGCUCCUAAUUAAGUUUGUGCAGCCAUAAUUCAUGGAGGCGCAUAUAGUCACAUAGGGUGCAUACGACCUAAUCUAGGGUAGUACAGAGUGUCUACACAAGGAGUAUGAGAUCACCCAAAAUACAGGAAGGAGGAGGCACACUUGACCUCGAAACUUGCUUGUUGGUCUUCCCUUCUUCGAUUGCCUUUUCCGCUUCUUCUGUGGCGACAUUGACGGAGAGGAUGCAGUCGUAGCCGAAAGGGAACGUCCAGGCAGCGGUUGUGGAGCUAAUCCUGGUGGAGAGGAAGCGGUGGCGGCGGGAUGGCUGAGCAGCAGAGGAGGAUUCGGUGGAUUUGGGUGUGGCAGCUGUAGGGUUUGGAGGGAUUUGGGCGGCGGCUGUA